UACAGAGGUCUCAAGCGUUGUUCGGAUUCAUUGGGCGUAAAGGGUGCGUAGGCGGCGCGGUAAGUCGGGUGUGAAAUCUCGGAGCUUAACUCCGAAACUGCAUUCGAUACUGCCGUGCUUGAGGACUGGAGAGGAGACUGGAAUUUACGGUGUAGCGGUGAAAUGCGCAGAUAUCAGGAGGAACACCGGUGGCGAAGGCGGGUCUCUGGACAGUUCCUGACGCUGAGGCACGAAGGCCAGGGGAGCAAACGGG
This 253-nucleotide ribosomal RNA is filed under the name uncultured bacterium. RNAcentral's name for it is "partial 16S ribosomal RNA". It matches the Rfam family "Bacterial small subunit ribosomal RNA", at positions 524 to 776 of the family's 1533-position model. The record is from RNAcentral.